UCCCUGGUAGUAUAUCGGUUAGUACACGCGCCUGUCAUCACAACGGGUGUCAAGCCAGAUGCGCGCGAAAGCUGGGUUCGACUCCCAGCCAGGGAG
Marasmius sp. AFHP31 is the source of this 96-nucleotide non-coding RNA. The record is from the annotation of a GenBank genome assembly. Lineage: Eukaryota; Fungi; Basidiomycota; Agaricomycetes; Agaricales; Marasmiaceae.